This 104-nucleotide transfer RNA is filed under the name Colletotrichum orchidophilum. It matches the Rfam family "tRNA". From Rfam's summary of the family: Transfer RNA (tRNA) molecules are approximately 80 nucleotides in length. Their secondary structure includes four short double-helical elements and three loops (D, anti-codon, and T loops). The record is from Rfam by way of RNAcentral. Lineage: Eukaryota; Fungi; Ascomycota; Sordariomycetes; Glomerellales; Glomerellaceae.
GGUGGGGUGGCUCAAUGGCGAGCGUCAGGAAUCAAUGAAUACCCUCAUAUAUUGUUGGAUUUACUGAGGCCUGAAGGGUGCGGGUUCGAGUCCUGUCCCCACCA